Molecule: ribosomal RNA, 498 nt
Filed under: uncultured bacterium
Lineage: Bacteria
Description: bacterial SSU rRNA
Rfam family: Bacterial small subunit ribosomal RNA
Source: RNAcentral
GAUGAACGCUAGCUACAGGCUUAACACAUGCAAGUCGAGGGGCAGCAUGGUCUUAGCUUGCUAAGGCCGAUGGCGACCGGCGCACGGGUGAGUAACACGUAUCCAACCUGCCGUCUACUCUUGGACAGCCUUCUGAAAGGAAGAUUAAUACAAGAUGGCAUCAUGAGUCCGCAUGUUCACAUGAUUAAAGGUAUUCCGGUAGACGAUGGGGAUGCGUUCCAUUAGAUAGUAGGCGGGGUAACGGCCCACCUAGUCUUCGAUGGAUAGGGGUUCUGAGAGGAAGGUCCCCCACAUUGGAACUGAGACACGGUCCAAACUCCUACGGGAGGCAGCAGUGAGGAAUAUUGGUCAAUGGGCGCAGGCCUGAACCAGCCAAGUAGCGUGAAGGAUGACUGCCCUAUGGGUUGUAAACUUCUUUUAUACGGGAAUAAAGUGAGGUACGUGUGCCUUUUUGUAUGUACCGUAUGAAUAAGGAUCGGCUAACUCCGUGCCAGUACG